RNAcentral lists this ribosomal RNA (253 nucleotides) under uncultured bacterium. RNAcentral's name for it is "partial 16S ribosomal RNA". It matches the Rfam family "Bacterial small subunit ribosomal RNA", at positions 79 to 334 of the family's 1533-position model. The record is from RNAcentral.
CUUUCUUUGCUGGCGACCGACGCACGGGUGAGUAACACGUAUCCAACCUGCCCUUUACUCGGGGAUAGCCUUUCGAAAGAAAGAUUAAUACCCGAUAGCAUAAUGAUUCCGCAUGGUUUCAUUAUUAAAGGAUUCCGGUAAAGGAUGGGGAUGCGUUCCAUUAGGUUGUUGGUGAGGUAACGGCCACCAAGCCUUCGAUGGAUAGGGGUUCUGAGAGGAAGGUCCCCCACAUUGGAACUGAGACACGGUCCAA